AUUCCAUUAUAUUAGAGCAAGUUUCAUAUAUUAAUGGUCUCAAAAUCAGUUAGCCUUAUGAGAAAAUUAAGACCAUUAUUGAAGCUGUAUAUCAUCAUUAUUGUUGUUGUUCGUGACAUAUAUGUGAUCUUUUUAACUAUCAUUUCGUGAUUUGGGGAGUUGUGUUGAGGACCACUCCAUCCCAAUCCCCCUUCUUUUUGGUUAUUUGAGAACCUUAGCUCUGAUGUUGUGGAUUUAGUUAAAAUAUGUAUUAGAAAAACGAGAAUACGGACUCAUGGGAGAAUUCUGGGUGUAAUUG
Molecule: long non-coding RNA, 298 nt
Filed under: Bos taurus (domestic cattle)
Lineage: Eukaryota; Metazoa; Chordata; Mammalia; Artiodactyla; Bovidae
Description: long non-coding RNA NONBTAT006668
Source: RNAcentral